UGCCAGCAGCCGCGGUAAUACGGAGGGUGCAAGCGUUAUCCGGAUUUACUGGGUUUAAAGGAUGCGUAGGUGGCUUAAUAAGUUAGUGGUGAAAUCCUACAGCUUAACUGUAGAACUGCCAUUAAAACUGUUAGGCUUGAGUAUAGUUGAGGCGGGUGGAAUGUAACAUGUAGCGGUGAAAUGCUUAGAUAUGUUACAGAACACCGAUUGUGAAGGCAGCUCGCUAGACUAUAACUGACACUGAGGCAUGAAAGCGUGGGGAGCGAACAGGAUUAGAUA
This 279-nucleotide ribosomal RNA is filed under the name uncultured bacterium. RNAcentral describes it as "partial 16S ribosomal RNA". It matches the Rfam family "Bacterial small subunit ribosomal RNA", at positions 506 to 784 of the family's 1533-position model. The record is from RNAcentral.